CCAGAGCCUGUCAUUGAGGAAGUGGACCUGGCCAACCUGGCACCUCGGAAACCUGACUGGGAUCUGAAGAGAGAUGUGGCCAAGAAGCUGGAGAAACAGACCCAGAGAGCCAUUGUAGAGCUGAUCCGUAAGUGCACUCUGGCCAGUGGGGGCCUGCCCUUGGAGCAGUGACUUCAGCACAGGCCUUUUCCACUUGUCUGUUCUCUCUCCAUCCAGGUGAACGGCUGAAAGGUCAGGUGGACAGCCUGGCCUCUGCAGUGGCUGCCAACAUUGAAACAGAGGCCUGUGACUCCGACUGACAUGUUUUCCUGGUUUAAUUUCUUGAGCACACACAUCUCCUGUCAUGUAAAUGGUGCUUUUUAACUUCUGUAAAUAAACUUUUAUUUAGUAGAGGCA
Arvicanthis niloticus (Nile rat) is the source of this 396-nucleotide non-coding RNA. NCBI's taxonomy places the organism in Eukaryota, Metazoa, Chordata, Mammalia, Rodentia, Muridae. The record is from RefSeq and is a predicted model, not a curated record.